This is an unclassified non-coding RNA of Aotus nancymaae (Ma's night monkey), 297 nucleotides long. It matches the Rfam family "Metazoan signal recognition particle RNA". From Rfam's summary of the family: The signal recognition particle (SRP) is a universally conserved ribonucleoprotein. It is involved in the co-translational targeting of proteins to membranes. The eukaryotic SRP consists of a 300-nucleotide 7S RNA and six proteins: SRPs 72, 68, 54, 19, 14, and 9. The record is from Ensembl. Lineage: Eukaryota; Metazoa; Chordata; Mammalia; Primates; Aotidae.
GCCGGGCUAGGUGGCACAUGCCUAUAGUCCCAGCUACUUGGGAGGUUAAGCCUGGAGAAUUCCUUGACUACACUCUUGGGCUGUAGUGCACUAUACCGAUCAGGUGUCCACACAAAGUUCGGCAUCAAUAUGGUGACCUCCUGGGAGCGGGGGACCACCAGGUUGCCUAAGGAGGGGUGAACCUGCUCAGGUGAGAAAUGGAGCAGGUCGAAACUCCCAUGCUGAUCAGUAGUGGAAUUGCACCUGUGAAAAGCCACUGCACUCCAGACUGGGCAAUAUUGUGAGACCCUGCCUCAU